This 435-nucleotide ribosomal RNA is filed under the name uncultured Glomeromycotina. RNAcentral's name for it is "SSU rRNA". It matches the Rfam family "Eukaryotic small subunit ribosomal RNA", at positions 596 to 1037 of the family's 1831-position model. Lineage: Eukaryota; Fungi; Glomeromycota. The record is from RNAcentral.
AGCAUAUAUUAAAGUUGUUGCAGUUAAAAAGCUCGUAGUUGAAUUUCGGGAUCAAAUUGUUGGUCGUGCUUCGGUACGCACUGGCAUUAUUGGUUUCUACCUUCUGAAGAACUGCGAUGUCAUUAUUUGGUGUCGUGGGGAAUCAGGACUGUUACUUUGAAAAAAUUAGAGUGUUUAAAGCAGGCGCACGCUUGAAUACAUUANCAUGGAAUAAUGAAAUAGGACGUUUGAUUCUAUUUUGUUGGUUUCUAGGAUUGACGUAAUGAUUAAUAGGGAUAGUUGGGGGCAUUAGUAUUCAAUUGUCAGAGGUGAAAUUCUUGGAUUUAUUGAAGACUAACUACUGCGAAAGCAUUUGCCAAGGAUGUUUUCAUUAAUCAAGAACGAAAGUUAGGGGAUCGAAGACGAUCAGAUACCGUUGUAGUCUUAACCAUAAAC